UAAGGAAUAUUGGUCAAUGGACGCAAGUCUGAACCAGCCAUGCCGCGUGAAGGAUGAAGGUCCUCUGGAUUGUAAACUUCUUUUAUCUGGGACGAAAACGGGAUUUUUAUCUCAAUUGACGGUACCAGAGGAAUAAGCACCGGCUAACUCCGUGCCAGCAGCCGCGGUAAUACGGAGGGUGCGAGCGUUAUCCGGAUUUACUGGGUUUAAAGGGUGCGUAGGUGGGCUUACAAGUCAGUGGUGAAAUCUCCGAGCUUAACUUGGAAACUGCCGUUGAUACUAUAGGUCUUGAAUUAUCUGGAGGUAAGCGGAAUAUGUCAUGUAGCGGUGAAAUGCUUAGAUAUGACAUAGAACACCAAUUGCGAAGGCAGCUUACUACAUAUAAAUUGACGCUGAGGCACGAAAGCGUGGGGAUCUAACA
RNAcentral lists this ribosomal RNA (421 nucleotides) under uncultured bacterium. RNAcentral's name for it is "bacterial SSU rRNA". It matches the Rfam family "Bacterial small subunit ribosomal RNA", at positions 355 to 774 of the family's 1533-position model. The record is from RNAcentral.